Molecule: ribosomal RNA, 506 nt
Filed under: uncultured bacterium
Lineage: Bacteria
Description: partial 16S ribosomal RNA
Rfam family: Bacterial small subunit ribosomal RNA
Source: RNAcentral
AUUGAACGCUGGCGGCAGGCCUAACACAUGCAAGUCGAACGGUAACAGGAAGCAGCUUGCUGCUUCGCUGACGAGUGGCGGACGGGUGAGUAAUGUCUGGGAAACUGCCCGAUGGAGGGGGAUAACUACUGGAAACGGUAGCUAAUACCGCAUAACGUCGCAAGACCAAAGAGGGGGACAUUCGGGCCUCUUGCCAUCGGAUGUGCCCAGAUGGGAUUGGCUUGUUGGUGAGGUAACGGCUCACCAAGGCGACGAUCCCUAGCUGGUCUGAGAGGAUGACCAGCCACACUGGAACUGAGACACGGUCCAGACUCCUACGGGAGGCAGCAGUGGGGAAUAUUGCACAAUGGGCGCAAGCCUGAUGCAGCCAUGCCGCGUGUAUGAAGAAGGCCUUCGGGUUGUAAAGUACUUUCAGCGGGGAGGAAGGUGUUGUGGUUAAUAACCGCAGCAAUUGACGUUACCCGCAGAAGAAGCACCGGCUAACUCCGUGCCAGCAGCCGCAGUAA